RNAcentral lists this long non-coding RNA (1314 nucleotides) under Homo sapiens (human). RNAcentral describes it as "HSALNT0131371". Lineage: Eukaryota; Metazoa; Chordata; Mammalia; Primates; Hominidae. The record is from RNAcentral.
GUUCUUUCCAACACCAAAACCAGAAGAGGAAUUCAGGGCUUUGCAGCCUAAAGCCAUCAGACCCAAGAGGACAUCCACAGGGAUUCUUAUCCUUGAAGACGCAGAAGCCCCACCUCAUCGCUUGAGGCAGUGAAGGGGAAACCCACCUGCCAGGCACCUGCAGGCUUCCGCUGGCCCCCUUCACUCCCCUCUCCAUCCAGUAGUCUUGAGUUCUAAGGAUCCUCACAGGUCAUAGCUCCAAGCACUCAAGAGAAUGGAGGUGUGGGGAUCCCAGGCAAAGAAACCACCUGGUGUCACUGAGAGAAGCAGAGGAGGUGGGCAGGGGCCCGGAGUCCCAGACGAACAGACAACCGCGAGGAUGUGGGGUCUGAGUGCUCUCCUCAUGAUCAAACACACUAAACUGUCACCAGAAGACUCCAUUCUUAGGCCUGGCUGUGUCACCAACCAGCCAGGUCACUAGGCAGGUCUCCCUGCCCCUCUGGACACAGCUGCCUCUCCUGGCAGAGCUGUGGGUCGAGUUGGAAGCUCACACGGCCCCUUUUGGCUCUGACACUCCACUGUCUGUGAGUCACUCUGGGUUCCGGUGGUUUGUCACUGGGGCUCACAGGGAAACCAAAGAAAGAACAAUCGCAGCCCAGGGUAGCGAGUUCAUGGGCGCCGGGUCCAGGGCUUGCGUAAGGAGGCCCAGUGACCUUCAGCACCGCGGUGACUCAAGGCGGUACUUUUCCACUGCUGGCAGGCACAAGCCCUCUAACGUGUGGCACCGGCACCUGCAUUAAAACAAUGUUUUGAUGAUGUUGCAGGGCUUAGAUCCACCCUCAAACAUGAAAACAAAUAAGAGUCCGGGCCUGAUGUUGUCGGAGCAAUUCCCUGGAUUCCUUGUCGAGUCGAGUCCUGCACGGAGGGACGGUCAGGGCUCGCUGGUUACCCGGCCUUGAGUCACCAGCAGCCUUCUCCCAGAGCCUCUGAUUCAUGGGCAUGUUAUUUGGGGAAAGAGUCACAAAGCCAUCACCGGCUCCUUCCUCUUGUUCCUCCCAGCUCCACACUUGGCCAUCACGGAGUGUUUUUGUUUCGCUGCAGUAAUCCAGAUAAGCCCUAAUUGUUUUCGGAUAUCCCAAAUGAGAGGCAUUAAACCAUCAGAAUUUUCUGCAUUCAAUGUGUAGGACUAAGUGGCAAUUCCUUACAGAAUGGGCUUAGGUUCCAGAUUCAUCUGAAAACAAAACACUUCUAGCUCUGACCCCUGCGGAACAAUAAAAUCAUGUUUUCAGUGUUCCCCUAGGGCCUGGCCAGAUCCUCAGGUAUCCUCAAAGAAUC